RNAcentral lists this ribosomal RNA (381 nucleotides) under Triticum aestivum (bread wheat). RNAcentral describes it as "partial small subunit ribosomal RNA". The record is from RNAcentral. Lineage: Eukaryota; Viridiplantae; Streptophyta; Magnoliopsida; Poales; Poaceae.
AUGGGGAGGCAGUCCAGCACCCAGUUCGGUGCUCUGGGAGAAACUGAAGAGCUUCCUGGGCAUAAACAAGCAGAGAAGCUUCAAGUUCCUGUCCAUGGAGAAGCAUCAGAGUUUCGAGGGGAGGAGGAGCAGGGACAACCCUGGAAAGAAGAGGGUGAUAGCGCACCACCUCGCGGCAAGGACCGGCAAUAUCUGCCAUGUCCGACAAAUGGUGCAGUUGUUCCGUUUGCCUCAUUCAAUUUGGUCCAUAGACUGUUGCCAUUUGAUAUAAGUGACAAAGAACAACUUCAACUGAAGAAACUAUUGUUGUUGUUCAGUACAGAGUACUACCAAACAUCAAGCUCAAUCUUGCCCGCUUUGAUGCUAUGUACGAGUGGAUAA